UACGUAGGGGGCAAGCGUUAUCCGGAUUUACUGGGCGUAAAGCGGGUGUAGGCGGCCUGUCAAGUCAGAUGUGAAAUCUCCUGGCUCAACUGGGAGGGUGCAUUUGAUACUGAUGGGCUAGAGUGCAGCAGAAGAAGAUGGAAUUCCCGGUGUAGUGGUGAAAUGCGUAGAUAUCGGGAAGAACACUAGUGGCGAAGGCGGUCUUCCGGGCUGUAACUGACGCUGAGACCCGAAGGCGUGGGGAG
RNAcentral lists this ribosomal RNA (245 nucleotides) under uncultured bacterium. RNAcentral describes it as "partial 16S ribosomal RNA". It matches the Rfam family "Bacterial small subunit ribosomal RNA", at positions 524 to 768 of the family's 1533-position model. The record is from RNAcentral.